AAAGUGCGAUAACUAGUGUGAAUUGCAUAUUCAGUGAAUCAUCGAGUCUUUGAACGCAACUUGCACUCUAUGGUUUUCCGUAAAGUACGCUUGCUUCAGUAUCAUAAAGACCCCAUCCUGAUUAUUAUUUUUUUAUUAAAAUAAUUAAUUUUGGAGAUA
RNAcentral lists this ribosomal RNA (159 nucleotides) under Rhizopus stolonifer. Its description in RNAcentral is "partial 5.8S ribosomal RNA". The stretch from base 1 to 104 matches the Rfam family "5.8S ribosomal RNA", at positions 50 to 154 of the family's 154-position model. From Rfam's summary of the family: 5.8S ribosomal RNA (5.8S rRNA) is a component of the large subunit of the eukaryotic ribosome. It is transcribed by RNA polymerase I as part of the 45S precursor that also contains 18S and 28S rRNA. Lineage: Eukaryota; Fungi; Mucoromycota; Mucoromycetes; Mucorales; Rhizopodaceae. The record is from RNAcentral.